AUAAACAUUUUCUUAUUAUUUUUACUCUAAAUAGUCAUAGUAUUAUAACCUUUUUAGUCUUUAAUUACCGUAGGGUUUGAAAGCACUCCAUGGAUGAUGGCAACGGGCCCCUUUGAUGAAUUCUAGGUUAAAAGCCCAAGAUUUGUCUUUUCCCUAUAAAUAGUCAUGUAUUAUUCACAAUUAGGGUUAAGAGAGUGAGACAAAAUGUAGCCGCCACGUGAGGUUUCUUAUAUAGUGUUAGAUUCUUUAGUCUAUGCUGAAAGUGUAAUUUAUUCCUCUUGUUUGAAUAAAUCGAGUGAUCAUUCGACCUAAUCUUCAUAUUUGUGUUUGUUCUUAUUUUCCGCAUCCUGUUCAUCAAAUCUCAAUUAGGGUUUUCAUCUCAACAAGUGGUAUCAGAGCGGGUCUUUGAAGGUCUAUUGAUUUUUGAAGUAUCGGUUCGUGGUUUGAUCAUUUUCUGCACAAGUUAUUGAAGAUUAUUGGUAUUUUGGCGUCUUGGAAUCAAGAUUUUUGUUCGAUCAACUGUUCAUGGUAACUUAUGUAUUCUGUUACUGUUCAUCAUGGUAAUUCCAAUCCAAUUCUCAUUUUGUUCAUCUUUUUCUAUGGAUCCGAUUUGUUUUAUACUCAAAAUCUUUUGAUUCAAGUAUUAUCCAUAAAUCUAUACGUUUUUGCCCAAAUCACGAGUUAUUGCUCAUAUCGUUUAUUUGAUUCAGUGUGGCCCAUAUUACAAUAUGAUAUUGUUACUGUUCAUAUCGUUUAUUUGAGCCCAUCACUUCUAAAUCAUUUGUUCCAAUUCUUCCUUGUUCAUAUACUUCGUCUGUUUAUUCUUGACUUUUGAUUGAACUUUCAUUAAAUUAGUAUUCUAUUUUGGGUUUCCUGGUCGAAUGAGUUGAUCGAUUAUUGUUUUCACCAUACAAAUCCUCGUGUUAAUCGAUCAUAUAAUUCAAAUCGUGUUCUUGAUUUUUCUUGAUUAUUAGCUUUCUUGUUCGAUUGAAGUUGUUGUGGUUCUCCGAUUUGAUUAAUCAAUCCUUGUUCUUGAAUCGACUUGAGUAAUUCAUAAGUUUCAGUUUAGUUUUGACUUGGAUUGAUCUAAAAAUCAAUUUGGAGAAGAUAGUUUUGGUGUUCUUGAGUAUCUGGUAACGUUGAAGAACUAAGGAUGAACAGAUGAAGAAUUGGAAAAUCAUUGUUGAAUCGGUGUGUUUAAUCUAAAAUAUCGAUUGGAAUAAUGGUUUAGUUGUUUAUCGAUUGUGGUGAAAUUGAUGGCUUGCUUCCGAUUCAAACUCGAUGGGUCAAACGAAAAAGUCAAAAUCAGAAUCGUGACUACAAUUGGAACUAAUAAUAUUGAACUUGGAAUCGUAAUUGUGAUUCGGAGCGAACUGUUGAUUUGUAAAUGGAAGGUUAAUUGUUCGAUUCUGAACGAACGGGUUCGUUGUUGGAAUUGAGACCGGGUUCGGAACCGGGUGUGAUUCUAGAUUCGCAAUUGGUUGAUACGCAUUUGAAAUUGGCAUUGGAAUGGCUCGGGUUCACAUUCGUAUUGGUGUGCUCGGUAUGAAGGGUUGAUCAGAAUCGAAUUUUUGGGUUUGGUUUACGAACAUUUGGAGGUUUCGCAUCUCGUUUGGUCGCCGUUGAAAGACUGGAGCAUGAUGCAGUCGUGUUCCUUUAAUCUCGUCUAAAUGGGGAAGAAAAUAUUCAAGUUACAUUUUUAGUCCCUGCAACUUCAGCGAUUUGGCGGUUCUGAUCCCUGUAUUUUUUGUGACUUGGCACUUUUGGAUUAUAUUCAGAAAUUGUUACAUGAAGGGGGAAACUGAUGCAGAGUUACAUUUUUAGUCCCAGAAUUUCAGCAAAGUGACAAUUUCAGCCCAUUUUUUGAAAAGUUUACAAAUUUGAGGGCUGGUGAACAGUUUUGGAUUUUUUAUCGCACAUAUUUUUUCGUGAACAGAAAAUUAAGGAUUCCAUCAAGUCUUGGCGGUUCGGAAAGUCGUUUUUCGUGAUAACGACAAAUUUUCAAAUUUUAUACUUUAUUGUGUAUAUCAUUUUGUCGCGAGGGAGCUUAGUAAAUUUUUAUCCAUUCAAGAUCAUUCUCAUGACCAUUUGAAGGCUUUAUAAUCAUGUUUUUGAUUAUAAAUCGGGGGAGAAUUCGGUAUGGUCAUUCGAAAUUGGAUUUGUAACUUUUCAAAUUUGAAGAUUUUUUAUAAAGCUUGUGGUAGAAUUAUGAAUGUAGCUUUUACAGCGGAAGUUCUUCAUUGAGCUCUGCUAAAGCUUUUACAGAGAAGUAUCCUUUACAGCGGAAGUUCUUUAUCGAGCUCUGCUAAGGACUUGUUAUAUCUCCGACUUCUUGUAUUUUCUCGAUCAAGUGGCGUUACGAAUCUUAAAGUUUGGGUUGUUACAUGAUAUUUUUUGAUGGCUUAUAUCAUUAGCUUAUUUGAAGAUCAUUGUGACUUGGAGGGGGAGCUCUUCAAAGACAAGAAGUGAUUCGGUUUCUUUGUUCUGAAAUGGGUUUUUAUGGCGGGUUUGGUUUUCAUGAAGAUUCUUUGGGAUUACAUUUGAAAAUGAAGUUUAAAGACAUUACUUCAGUGCUUGAUUUAUAUAUCAUAGAGCCCGUGUUUGAAGACUAUUGAAGAAUCAAGAUUCGUGGAUUGCUUCAUAUAUUCCUCGUUGCAGAUCUUUUUAUUUGCUAGAUGCUUGUUUUGGAAGUUAAAGCAUUAUCAUCCAUUCCAUACUUUGAGGGGGAGAUUGUAGGGUUUCAAAGCACUCCAUGGAUGAUGGCAAUGGGCCCCUUUGAUGAAUUCUAGGUUAAAACCCAAGAUUUGUCUUUUCCCUAUAAAUAGUCAUGUAUUGUUCACAAUUAGGGUUAAGAGAGUGAGACAAAAUGUAGCCGCCACGUGAGGUUUCUUAUAUAGUGUUAGAUUCUUUAGUCUAUGCUGAAAGUGUAAUUUAUUCCUCUUGUUUGAAUAAAUCGAGUGAUCAUUCGACCUAAUCUUCAUAUUUGUGUUUGUUCUUAUUUUCCGCAUCAUGUUCAUCAAAUCUCAAUUAGGGUUUUCAUCUCAACAAUUACCAUGUUUUUUUCAUAAAUAUCAAUUUUUUUUCUUUAUCGAAGAAGAAAGAUACUCUAAGUUGUAAAAAAUUUCCACUAUGGCAAGUACAUAUGGCCUUAUACACUAACUCAAUUUUGGAGAGUGGAAAAUGUUAUCAAACUACAUUACAAGAAGUACUAUUUAAAGAAUUUGUAAUUAUACAUUUAUAUAACUAGACACGUGAUUUAUUAAAAUAUUA
Molecule: long non-coding RNA, 3270 nt
Filed under: Lactuca sativa (garden lettuce)
Lineage: Eukaryota; Viridiplantae; Streptophyta; Magnoliopsida; Asterales; Asteraceae
Description: long non-coding RNA (LSAT_LNC009012)
Source: RNAcentral